This 1470-nucleotide ribosomal RNA is filed under the name metagenome. RNAcentral's name for it is "bacterial SSU rRNA". It matches the Rfam family "Bacterial small subunit ribosomal RNA". The record is from RNAcentral.
AGAGUUUGAUCCUGGCUCAGGACGAACGCUGGCGGCACGCUUAACACAUGCAAGUCGAACGAGAGAAGAGGAGCUUGCUUUUCUGAUCUAGUGGCGGACGGGUGAGUAACACGUGAGCAAUCUGCCUUUCAGAGGGGGAUACCGAUUGGAAACGAUCGUUAAUACCGCAUAACAUAAUUGAACCGCAUGAUUUGAUUAUCAAAGAUUUAUCGCUGAAAGAUGAGCUCGCGUCUGAUUAGCUAGUUGGUAAGGUAACGGCUUACCAAGGCGACGAUCAGUAGCCGGACUGAGAGGUUGAUCGGCCACAUUGGGACUGAGACACGGCCCAGACUCCUACGGGAGGCAGCAGUGGGGAAUAUUGCACAAUGGAGGAAACUCUGAUGCAGCGAUGCCGCGUGAGGGAAGAAGGUUUUAGGAUUGUAAACCUCUGUCUUCAGGGACGAAAAAAGACGGUACCUGAGGAGGAAGCUCCGGCUAACUACGUGCCAGCAGCCGCGGUAAUACGUAGGGAGCGAGCGUUGUCCGGAAUUACUGGGUGUAAAGGGAGCGUAGGCGGGAUCGCAAGUCAGAUGUGAAAACUAUGGGCUUAACCCAUAAACUGCAUUUGAAACUGUGGUUCUUGAGUGAAGUAGAGGUAAGCGGAAUUCCUAGUGUAGCGGUGAAAUGCGUAGAUAUUAGGAGGAACAUCAGUGGCGAAGGCGGCUUACUGGGCUUUAACUGACGCUGAGGCUCGAAAGCGUGGGGAGCAAACAGGAUUAGAUACCCUGGUAGUCCACGCCGUAAACGAUGAUUACUAGGUGUGGGGGGACUGACCCCUUCCGUGCCGCAGCAAACGCAAUAAGUAAUCCACCUGGGGAGUACGACCGCAAGGUUGAAACUCAAAGGAAUUGACGGGGGCCCGCACAAGCAGUGGAGUAUGUGGAUUAAUUCGAAGCAACGCGAAGAACCUUACCAGGUCUUGACAUCGUAUGCAUAGCUCAGAGAUGAGUGAAAUCUCUUCGGAGACAUAUAGACAGGUGGUGCAUGGUUGUCGUCAGCUCGUGUCGUGAGAUGUUGGGUUAAGUCCCGCAACGAGCGCAACCCUUACUGUUAGUUGCUACGCAAGAGCACUCUAGCAGGACUGCCGUUGAUAAAACGGAGGAAGGUGGGGAUGACGUCAAAUCAUCAUGCCCCUUAUGACCUGGGCCUCACACGUACUACAAUGGCUGUCAACAGAGGGAAGCAAAGCCGCGAGGUGGAGCGAACCCCUAAAAGCAGUCUUAGUUCGGAUUGUAGGCUGCAACCCGCCUACAUGAAGUCGGAAUUGCUAGUAAUCGCAGAUCAGCAUGCUGCGGUGAAUACGUUCCCGGGCCUUGUACACACCGCCCGUCACGCCAUGGGAGUCGGUAACACCCGAAGCCUGUAGUCUAACCGCAAGGAGGACGCAGUCGAAGGUGGGAUUGAUGACUGGGGUGAAGUCGUAACAAGGUA